This 253-nucleotide ribosomal RNA is filed under the name uncultured bacterium. Its description in RNAcentral is "partial 16S ribosomal RNA". It matches the Rfam family "Bacterial small subunit ribosomal RNA", at positions 524 to 776 of the family's 1533-position model. The record is from RNAcentral.
UACAGAGGUGGCAAGCGUUGUUCGGAAUUAUUGGGCGUAAAGGGCGCGUAGGCGGCUUUGCAAGUGACGGGUGAAAUCCCUCGGCUUAACCGAGGAACUGCCUGUCAGACUGUGAGGCUUGAGACCGGGAGAGGUGAGUGGAAUUCCCAGUGUAGCGGUGAAAUGCGUAGAUAUUGGGAGGAACACCAGUGGCGAAGGCGGCUCACUGGACCGGAACUGACGCUGAGGCGCGAAAGCGUGGGGAGCAAACAGG